AAAGCUAGCCCAACUACAAACCUAAUUUCAAUUAUCACAUAUACGUAAAACAAAACAUUUACUAAUUAAAGUAUAGGAGAUAGAAAUAUUCUUAAGGCGCUAUAGAGAAAGUACCGUAAGGGAAUGAGUGAAAGAUCAAUUAAAAGUAACAAAUAGCAAAGCUUACCCCUUUUACCUUUUGCAUAAUGAGUUAACUAGAAAAUCUUAGCAAAGAGAACUUAAGUUAAGUACCCCGAAACCAGACGAGCUACCUGCGAGCAGCAUAUAAGAGCAAACUCGUCUAUGUGGCAAAAUAGUGAGAAGACUCUCAGGUAGAGGUGAAAAGCCUACCGAGCCUGGUGAUAGCUGGUUGUCCAGAAAAAGAAUAUAAGUUCAACUUUAAUCCUUACAAAAAUAUAACUAUAAAAUUACCAUGUAAGAUUAAAUGAUAAUCUAAAGAGGUACAGCCCUUUAGAUAUAGGAUACAACCUUAAACGGAGAGUAAGUAAAAUAAAAAUUCAUAGUUGGCCUAAAAGCAGCCACCAAUUAAGAAAGCGUUCAAGCUCAACAAUACACACUCUUUAAUUCCAAUAGUAUAACUAACUCCCACAUUUUAACUGGACUAAUCUAUAAAAAUAGAAGAGAUACUGUUAAUAUGAGUAACAAGAAUUAUUUCUCCCUGCACAAACCUAUAUCAGACCGGAUACCCCACUGAUAAUUAACAAACCAAUAAUAAUAAUUUAUACAUAAAAUACUUAUUACAUGGAUUGUUAACCCAACACAGGCGUGCUAUUUUAAGGAAAGAUUAAAAGAAGUAAAAGGAACUCGGCAAA
Molecule: ribosomal RNA, 812 nt
Filed under: Talpa altaica (Siberian mole)
Lineage: Eukaryota; Metazoa; Chordata; Mammalia; Eulipotyphla; Talpidae
Description: partial 16S ribosomal RNA
Rfam family: Bacterial large subunit ribosomal RNA (bases 155-812)
Source: RNAcentral